Non-coding RNA from Callorhinus ursinus (northern fur seal), 798 nucleotides. The record is from RefSeq and is a predicted model, not a curated record. NCBI's taxonomy places the organism in Eukaryota, Metazoa, Chordata, Mammalia, Carnivora, Otariidae.
GACCUGUUGGGGACUAAUAAACUCCCUGUCUCAACUGGGAGGCAACUGGACACCUUUCCAAACUCUUCCUCCCCCUCCACUCGUCCCUCCGUUUGUGACCUCAGAAAUACCUCCUGCUCUUUGUCAAAACAGAUUCUGGCUAGGUCCAUGUGUGUGGAUCAUUGACACAACUUCUUUUCUUUAUGAAAAUACCAAACAAAAAACUCACUGGUGGUUGGUUUCCAGGAACGUGUUGCUCUGGGAUGGAAGGCCUAUUAUUAUUGUGUGUUGCUACAUCAAAGACUUAACAUUUUCCCCUUUGCCAGGCUGAGCGAUCAUCUUCUCAUUAGAAAAUGCUGUCAGACCCACAGUGGCUCAGCCCCAGCAGGCUGUGACUGAGAGCUGUGAAGGGACCUCCUGGGAUGCCAAGACAAGCCCAAGCCUCCAAGGGACUGAACUGGCUUUAAAGAUCUGGCAUUUGGAAAAUAAGAAUAACGGGUGCGGAGUCUUGUUUCGUUCUGUGCCCAGCACUGCUGCAAGUGAUCUACGUGCAUUAACUCACUCAAAGCUUCACAUCCGCAUCGCGGCUAUAAGUAAUCGACAUGCGGUUGGAUCAUUAUAAGAUCUCAGCAUAGGAGCCUAAAGAGUGGACUUCUCAAAAUGAAGAGGUCACAGUCACAAAACCACAUCGGAGACUAAAGCGUCCUCUAUUUCUGCAGCUACAUAGUGUUUUCAGUUUCCCUGGCUCUUUAUCAGGAAUGUGUGGGGAGCUUGACUCCAAAUCUACAACUCUGCUUCAUCCUCCCCAGUUUCUAGCAG